GAUGAACGCUGGCGGCGUGCCUAAUACAUGCAAGUCGAGCGAACGGACGAGAAGCUUGCUUCUCUGAUGUUAGCGGCGGACGGGUGAGUAACACGUGGAUAACCUACCUAUAAGACUGGGAUAACUUCGGGAAACCGGAGCUAAUACCGGAUAAUAUUUUGCACCGCAUGGUUCAAAAGUGAAAUUCGGUCUUGCUGUCACUUCUAGAUGGAUCCGCGCUGCAUUAGCUAGUUGGUAAGGUAACGGCCUACCAAGGCAACGAUGCAUAGGCGACGUGAGAGAGUGAUAGCCCGCCCGGGAACUGAGACGCGGUCCAGACGACUACGGGAGGGAGCAGUAGGGAAUCUGACGCAGUGGGCGAGAGCCUGACGGAGCAGCGCGACGUGAGUGAUGAAGGUCUUCGGAUCGUAAUACUCUGUUAUGAGGGAAGAACAGAUGUGUAAGUAAAUGUGCAGAUCUUGACGGUACCUAAUAAGAAAGCAACGGCUAACUACGUG
RNAcentral lists this ribosomal RNA (497 nucleotides) under uncultured bacterium. RNAcentral describes it as "partial 16S ribosomal RNA". It matches the Rfam family "Bacterial small subunit ribosomal RNA", at positions 28 to 507 of the family's 1533-position model. The record is from RNAcentral.